This is a non-coding RNA of Jatropha curcas, 3118 nucleotides long. The record is from RefSeq and is a predicted model, not a curated record. Lineage: Eukaryota; Viridiplantae; Streptophyta; Magnoliopsida; Malpighiales; Euphorbiaceae.
GAGAGAAGAGAAACUAAUAUUUUAUUCAUUAAUUUCUGUUAUGUCCAUCUCAGCCUAUACAGCUUUUAAUUGUUUUGCAUAAAUUACAGAUUUCAACCUCAGCUGAUAUUUCAUAAUCUGGUUUAUCAAUUACCAUUCUUUCUUAAACUAUCAAAUCAUAACAGAAUUUGACAUUUACAAUUAGAUUCAUUCCUAUCAACAAAUUACUCCAAUGAGGGUUGAUGAUUAUUUAAUUGGUGGUGGAUCUACAUAUUUGGGAAAGAUUCUUGCUUUUUGCAGGUAUGAUUAUUUAAAAUCAUGGGGUAUUAUUUUAAUUGUUUAAAAGGGAUUAUUUGUAUUGUUUUAUGCAAUUGGUGACAGCUCCUAUUUAUGAACUUAGCUAAGUUAUUGAGAUAAACUAGAAAGGUAAAUAUAAAUAUGUGUUAAUUUGAUACCAUCAUAUGAAAGUAAAAUAGUUGAGGUUUGAUUUAUAUAGAUUUUCUUUAGAGAAGAUCAAAUAUACAAGGCUUGAGAAAAGCUUAGACUUCCUUAUAUUUUGUGUACGUGGAAAGAAAAACUAGUAAAAGAUUAGAUAGAAGAUAAAUAUUUGAAGAGAUUAUUUAUUGUAUAUUUCUAUUUCUAUCUGUUGUUGGGUUAGUGUUGUAACUUUUGUGUUAUUUAUUUGAAAAAUAUAUUUGAUUGAUGUAGGAAUCGUUCCAAUUAUUAUUAAGCUUAAUCAACUCCUUUACUAUUAUAAAUAAUUUCUCUUUGUUAACCAGUUGAUUAAGUGAGCUAUUUUACUAUUAUUAAACAUUCCAACUAUUCAUUUGAUCCUAGCAUAAGAGGUUUCACCUUGGCCUGAAUUGAGAGCUUGUGCUGCUUUAUCCUUCCUUUGAUGUCUAAGACAUUGCUGUGUUUUUGGAAUACUUUGAAUUCUUUGUUUUGUGUUUGAGUGAGGUUCAACGAUUAUUUGUAUAAUUGUGUAUUUGUGUUUAUUAUUGGUGUAGAUAAUGAAAUUUUUUGCAACAUGAAACCUUCAACUUAGGAAAUAAGUGGAUAUGCCUCAACUAAAAAAUUAGACUUUUGAGAGUUGCACCAAGAGUUUCAUAUGGCUUCUCAAUGCUUGCUUCUAAGGUUGUACUGUUUUGGUGUUAUGGUUGUGUGGAACAAUUGGAUUAAUAUAAAAAAUUUAGGAUUUGAUUUUAUCCUUGGAAAAAAAAAAUUCCAAUUAUUAAUUAAGAUAAAAUAUAAAAGAUGGACACCAGUUCUUCUAUUCAAUUGAUCGAGAGUGAUUUAUUUGUAACUCAUUCACUAUAUUUACUAUUUUUCCUACAUUCUUCUAUUAUUUCCCUUUUACACAUUAUUAGAACUCUAAUUUUCUCCCAUUUAUGCUUAUUAAAAUUUAAUUUUAUUUCAAGUUGACAAGUGUUAUUGCAGAAUUCCUUCAUUUGAUAUCUAUUUUAUUAUAUCCUAAUGUUUGCAUUUGCAAAUCUAAUUAUGUGCUAUCAUUUCUUCAUUUGUAUACAGCAUGUCUCACACUCUUGUUAGACUUCUUAAUAUCAUGGUGGGCAAUUUGUGUAUAUAAAUGAGAAGAAAGAAUAUGUGGGUGGGAAGUGUGAAGUUGUAUGUGAGAAAUUUGAUAUGGACUUACUGUGUUUCCCUAAUGUGAUGUCCUAUGUGAAGGACCUAAGGUAUGAGGUUGUAGAUGGUGUUUAUUUUAAGAUGAAAUUAAAUGGAGAAUGGUUGCAAAUUAUUGAUGACAAGAGUGGAGAUGACAUACCUUAGGUCAUACAUGUUCAUAAUGAUUUAAAAAGUCAACCUUUUGUUCGAGUCAACUUGCCCUCCAUUGAUCAUAUUGUAUAUAGAUCAAAACCUUUUAAUGUCAAUGCAGAGGUAGAUUCUGAUAGAUAAUAAACCUUUAAUGACAAUGCAGAGGUAUGUUGAAGAGGAUAUUAAUGUAGAUGACUUUCAAACUCAUCAAACGUUUGAUGAAAUUUGUGUUAAUGUGCCCUAUUUAACUGAUGAUGAGGAUGAAGAGUUACAAUAAGCAAGGGGAAAGUUAGGGGGUUUAGAAAUAGAAACAAACAGCCGUUGGUCAAUCAAUAUGGGAAUGGGUUGGGGGAAUUAGGUGAAGAACCACCAGUAGAUCUCUUGGAUGAACCUGAAAAUGAAGAGGUUGAUGAUGAUUGUGUAAAUAGCUCAAAUAGUGAUUUUUCUUUGGAAUAGUAGUGUUUACUAUGAUACUUCUGAUUUAAGUAGUUAUUACACUGACUGACGAUGAGCUUGAGCUAGAUUCUGCAAGAAUACCUAGGUCUAGGAUUACAUUUGAUCCCACCUAUAAUAUUCUUGUUUUUUGCUUGGGUAUGGCAUUCACCAAUUUUCAGCAUGUCAGGGAUGCAGUGUCAAAUUAUCCAAUUUUCAAGGGUUUGGCGGUUCAUAUUGUUAAAAUGAACCUCUUAGGAUUCGGGUACAUUCUGCACCAGGUUGUCCAUGGACUCUAUGUUAGUAAUGAAGUGAAUGAUAAUAGUUUGGUUGUUAAGACGUACAUUCCAAAUCAUAGGUGUUACAGGGUCAAUAAGGGCAAUUUUACAAAUAGUUCCUUUGUUGCUUGAUAUUUUAAGCAUAGGAUUACUGCCCCCCCAAACAUAAACAUAAGGGUAUUAAAAGGUCUGCAAAUCUGAUUUGAGGAUGCAUGUAAGCAUGCAUGUCUGUAGGAAUGCAAAAAAGAAGGUAAUGACUAAGUUGGAAGGCAAUUAUAAGACAUGCAAAAGAGAUUGGAGGGUGCCAUUAAAGAUCUUCUUCCGAACGUGGAGCAUAGGAUGGUGUGCAGGACACAUGUAUGCAGCUUGGGCUAAGAAGUGCAGGGGGGGAGGAGAGGAAAACAGUUUUUUGGGGCUGUGCUAAAGCCACAUUUAUUAGUGACUUAAAGGCAAAAUUGAAAGUUUCGGAUACUUUGGGUACAGGCUGUGUGCAUGAUGCAUUGGCAUAUGAAAUUCGAAGUUGGUGUAAGGCAUUUUUUAAUACGGAUGUGAAGUGUGAUGUGAUGGAUAACAACCCAUCAGAAACUUUUAAUGGUUGGGUUCUUGAAGCAAUAUGUAUUGUUCAAAAAAAUAAAAACAAAAAAAUUUAUUUUGGUCAA